GAUGGAACGCUAGCGAUAGGCUUACACAUGCAAGUCGAGGGGCAGCACGAUUUUUAGCUUGCUAAGAUUGGUGGCGACCGGCGCACGGGUGCGUAAACGCGUAUGCAACUUACCUUAUAGAGGGGGAUAGCCCGUUUAACGACGGAUUAAUACCGCAUAUACAAGUAGUUCGGCAUCGAGUAAACUUUGGAAAUGAAUUUCGCUAUAAGAUAGGCAUGCGUCCCAUUAGCUAGUUGGUGAGGUAACGGCUCACCAAGGCGACGAUGGGUAGGGGAACUGAGAGGUUGAUCCCCCACACUGGUACUGAGACACGGACCAGACUCCUACGGGAGGCAGCAGUGAGGAGUAUUGGUCAAUGGACGCAAGUCUGAACCAGCCAAAUCGCGUGAAGGAUGACUGUCUUAUGGAUUGUAAACUUCUUUUAUACGGGAAUAAUCAUAGAUACGUGUAUCUAUUUGAAUGUACCGUACGAAUAAGCAUCGGCUAACUCCGUGCCAGCAGCCGCGGUAAUACGGAGGAUGCGAGCGUUAUCCGGAUUUAUUGGGUUUAAAGGGUGCGUAGGUGGUCUGAUAAGUCAGCGGUGAAAUUUCUGAGCUCAACUCAGACACUGCCGUUGAAACUGUUAGACUUGAGUGUAGAUGAGGUAGGCGGAAUGCGUGGUGUAGCGGUGAAAUGCAUAGAUAUCACGCAGAACUCCGAUUGCGAAGGCAGCUUACUAAGGUACAACUGGCACUGAAGCACGAAAGCGUGGGUAUCAAACAGG
This 763-nucleotide ribosomal RNA is filed under the name uncultured bacterium. RNAcentral's name for it is "bacterial SSU rRNA". It matches the Rfam family "Bacterial small subunit ribosomal RNA", at positions 28 to 776 of the family's 1533-position model. The record is from RNAcentral.